Molecule: ribosomal RNA, 505 nt
Filed under: uncultured bacterium
Lineage: Bacteria
Description: partial 16S ribosomal RNA
Rfam family: Bacterial small subunit ribosomal RNA
Source: RNAcentral
GACGAACGCUGGCGGCGUGCCUAAUACAUGCAAGUAGAACGCACAGUUUAUACCGUAGCUUGCUACACCAUAAACUGUGAGUUGCGAACGGGUGAGUAACGCGUAGGUAACCUGCCUGGUAGCGGGGGAUAACUAUUGGAAACGAUAGCUAAUACCGCAUAAUAUUAAUUAUUGCAUGAUAAUUGAUUGAAAGAUGCAAUUGCAUCACUACCAGAUGGACCUGCGUUGUAUUAGCUAGUAGGUGAGGUAACGGCUCACCUAGGCGACGAUACAUAGCCGACCUGAGAGGGUGAUCGGCCACACUGGGACUGAGACACGGCCCAGACUCCUACGGGAGGCAGCAGUAGGGAAUCUUCGGCAAUGGACGAAAGUCUGACCGAGCAACGCCGCGUGAGUGAAGAAGGUUUUCGGAUCGUAAAGCUCUGUUGUAAGAGAAGAACGGGUGUGAGAGUGGAAAGUUCACACUGUGAUGGUAUCUUACCAGAAAGGGACGGCUAACUACGUG